GAUGAACGCUAGCGGCAGGCCUAAUACAUGCAAGUCGGACGGGAUUUGGGAGCUUGCUCCCAAUGAGAGUGGCGCACGGGUGCGUAACACGUAUGUAACCUACCUUAAUCAGGGGGAUAGCCUCUCGAAAGAGAGAUUAACACCGCAUAAUAUAUUUUUAUGGCAUCGUAGAAAUAUCAAAUAUUUAUAGGAUUAAGAUGGGCAUGCGGAACAUUAGCUAGUUGGUAAGGUAACGGCUUACCAAGGCUACGAUGUUUAGGGGAUCUGAGAGGACGACCCCCCACACUGGUACUGAGACACGGACCAGACUCCUACGGGAGGCAGCAGUAAGGAAUAUUGGUCAAUGGGCGCAAGCCUGAACCGGCCAUGCCGCGUGCAGGAAGACGGCCCUAUGGGUUGUAAACUGCUUUUAUACCGGAAUAAACCCUUUUACGUGUAAAAGGCUGAAUGUACGGUAAGAAUAAGGAUCGGCUAACUCCGUGCCAGCCGCCGCAGUAA
This 498-nucleotide ribosomal RNA is filed under the name uncultured bacterium. RNAcentral describes it as "partial 16S ribosomal RNA". It matches the Rfam family "Bacterial small subunit ribosomal RNA", at positions 28 to 523 of the family's 1533-position model. The record is from RNAcentral.